RNAcentral lists this transfer RNA (72 nucleotides) under Calypte anna (Anna's hummingbird). It matches the Rfam family "tRNA". Rfam says of the family: Transfer RNA (tRNA) molecules are approximately 80 nucleotides in length. Their secondary structure includes four short double-helical elements and three loops (D, anti-codon, and T loops). Further hydrogen bonds mediate the characteristic L-shaped molecular structure. tRNAs have two regions of fundamental functional importance: the anti-codon, which is responsible for specific mRNA codon recognition, and the 3' end, to which the tRNAs corresponding amino acid is attached (by aminoacyl-tRNA synthetases). tRNAs cope with the degeneracy of the genetic code in two manners: having more than one tRNA (with a specific anti-codon) for a particular amino acid; and 'wobble' base-pairing, i.e. permitting non-standard base-pairing at the 3rd anti-codon position. Lineage: Eukaryota; Metazoa; Chordata; Aves; Apodiformes; Trochilidae. The record is from Rfam by way of RNAcentral.
ACUUUUAAAGCAUAACAGUCAAUACACUGGUCUUAGGAGACACUCAUCUUGGUGCAAAUCCAAGUAAAAGUA